CUGAGAAAGAAACGAUAGGCCCAUGCUUCUGAAGUGCUCUUUGGCUUAGGACAAGCCCGAUUACCCAGGCACCGAUGAGCCGAACCAGGAGGAGGCCCCGAAACCCUCACACUUGUUGACCUUCACAGUCUGACCUGUUGCGGAUUACGCCCCCGCCCAAACUUGAUGAAGCUCUGCACUUGGGUCACUAAUAUGAUUCACUACCCUAAAUUUAGAAAAGGCUGUGAUUCUAACAGCAAGUGACAAAAACCAGAGAAUUUUGAGUUCUUGUUGGCUGCUCCGGGUUACAUUCCCUUCUAGGUGAAGUCAGAGCUGCCAGCGCAUUCAUGAAAAUAACCAGCGUGCGCCGAGAGGAAUUGGAAGGGGCUGCAGAUAAGAAGUGGCAGAGAACUCAAACUCUCCUUAAACGUUUGGCUUCAGCGUCAAAAUAUUUGCUUUGUUUUAAAUAUCUUCACGAGCAAGACCUGCGAGGGAGCUUUGUGACUUUUUGCGGGCUUGCGUGAAAUAAAUGGUUGUGUGGUCA
This is a long non-coding RNA of Mustela lutreola (European mink), 523 nucleotides long. RefSeq lists it as uncharacterized. The record is from RefSeq and is a predicted model, not a curated record. NCBI's taxonomy places the organism in Eukaryota, Metazoa, Chordata, Mammalia, Carnivora, Mustelidae. The transcript has 2 exons.